This 328-nucleotide ribosomal RNA is filed under the name uncultured Polaribacter sp. RNAcentral's name for it is "bacterial SSU rRNA". It matches the Rfam family "Bacterial small subunit ribosomal RNA", at positions 147 to 473 of the family's 1533-position model. Lineage: Bacteria; Pseudomonadati; Bacteroidota; Flavobacteriia; Flavobacteriales; Flavobacteriaceae. The record is from RNAcentral.
CCUUUAGAAAUGAAGAUUAAUGCCUCAUAGUAUUGUAGACUGGCAUCAGUUUAUAAUUAAAGAUUUAUCGGUAAAAGAUGGCUAUGCGUCCUAUUAGUUAGUUGGUAAGGUAACGGCUUACCAAGACAGCGAUAGGUAGGGGUCCUGAGAGGGAGAUCCCCCACACUGGUACUGAGACACGGACCAGACUCCUACGGGAGGCAGCAGUGAGGAAUAUUGGACAAUGGAGGAGACUCUGAUCCAGCCAUGCCGCGUGUAGGAAGAAUGCCCUAUGGGUUGUAAACUACUUUUAUACAGGAAGAAACACUGGUAUGUAUACCAGCUUGAC